This 2410-nucleotide small RNA is filed under the name Cryptococcus neoformans H99. RNAcentral's name for it is "Cryptococcus neoformans var. grubii H99 hypothetical RNA". The record is from RNAcentral. Lineage: Eukaryota; Fungi; Basidiomycota; Tremellomycetes; Tremellales; Cryptococcaceae.
CUUCCUUCAAAACACUCUUCUUCUUACUCUUUCUCCUUCUCACCCCGUUACCCUUUUUUAUGUUCGCUCUUCCCCUCUUGUCACUUCCUGGGGCACUUUGCGGAUUAAAUUCGUCCCCAUCCAAGACCAGCUCUCUUGGCCGCGCUGCUUGUGGGCUUUGGAUGGCGAGCACUGGUAUGCGUUUUGGUGUAGAAAGAUGGGAGGGAAUUGGAGGGACAGGAGGGAUAGGGCUGGAUGCGACAGGAAGCAGCAGGGCAGCUUGUAACGACUUGAUUGAUCGCUGUUUCUUCAGUCCGCGAGACACUGUGUUACUGGCCUUUGGGGUUUCGCAACCUCCUGAAGCUUUGACUUUGGGUGGGGUUCCUGGUUUGUAGAAGAAUGAUUUAGAGAAAUCAACACCCACACCCCUCGCACUAUACAAGGAUUCUCCCUCACCUCCAUCACUCUUUUUCUUCAUAGGACUCCAUCCAGCAAACUGCUCCCCUUGCUGCUUCCAGUCCAUCCUCGGGCUCAACACUAAGGGAUCAUCUCUAUCGGCUUCUGCAUAUUGACCCAAAACAGCGUCGCGCAACUUUGCAAUGGAUGGUCGCAAGCGCAAAAGGGAAAUCGGUCCUGAAGACUGUUUGGCCUUUGGGGUAGGAAUUGGGGGUAAGUCUUCGGCGUCUCCUGAAGCAGAAUCACAGAUGACUGGCCCAGCUGUGACAAGUCGAGGUUGAGCAGGAGUCGGGGCUGUCACUUUGAUGGGUAUGGAAGGAUUCCAAGAAGAUGUAGCAGGAGUUGGGCUUGGAGUCUGAGUAGAACCGAGAAGAGCGUUGCGGAUGGAUCUGAGCCAACCGGCAGGAAGAGAAGGGCUUUCUGUGUCGGACUUUUUCAGAUUGGGGGUUGAGUGAGCCAGGCGGAGUUUGGUUGCCCGAUCACCAUAUUUUAAAGGCUUUGCCGGUUCUGGAACCUUGUCCAUCUUUUCCUCAGGGGGAGCGACAUCGACAGGGGGAGAAGGGAGAGGAAUCUUCGGAGCUUCAUGGGGACGGGAGGCGUCCACCUGUGGAAGGACCCACGUUCUCAUUGGAGGAGAGUCGCAUUCCAAAUCUUCAUCGUACUCGACUGCGCUUGCCAACAACCUCUUCCCAACUUCAUUGACCUCAUCGAGUAAUCCAUCAUCCACUUCAUUCUCAAAGUCCCUGAUUUCUCUCUCCGCGCGGUCAUCACUCGGUGUCCUGCUGUGCAUGGAAUGGGCGGAUUCUGAGGCGGAAUACGAACCGAUAGAGUAAACGUCGUAAUCAUUUACACCCAUAGCGUACAAGGCUUCAUCUUCAUCGCACUGGGCCUCAUAAUCAUCAGGAAGUGGACAAUAGCCAAAAGCAUCAUCAGAUAAAGCCUGGGGAGGUGGAGGUGAGGAAAAGAUAUCUCUGUCCAUUGGACAAGUUGCCGUUUUUGUGGUUGUGUAGCCUGUGGCCGCCGUCAUCUCAUGGGGAAUGCUCGCCUGCCUCAUUUGAGGCAAAGGCGGCCGCUCUUCUUGUGGCGGAGAUUCUGUCUCGGCCCUCCUCCAUCUACCUCUUUCUACAUCCCAAGCGGAUUGGACUUUCCUCACACCUUCUCCAUUUUUCGCAAGGCCUAGACCGACUUUUGUGGGCGCUUCUGGGGACGAAAUCUUCUGGGUUUUGCCCCACGUUGUCCACCAGGAAUGCUCCGGAGCCUCCUCCUUGACAGCGGCUUUGGACCUGGCGGCCGCUUGAAGGGCAAGGGAGCGAAGAAUGGAUGCUGAUCUCUUCAUAGGUAUGAUAGGUUCCGUUACAUUCUGGUGCGCAUGGUGAAUGCCUAGUCCUCUUGUCCUGUCAAAUCCAUAAGUCCCAUAAAGCGCGUUGACUUCCUCCUCAUUAUCGUCCAACGUUUUUUUGAUGUGUUUUCGCACCUUUUCUGCUUCAGGGGUGUACACUCUAGUCUCUUUGUAUCCCGCCCGCUGGAGAAGGUCCUGGAGAGAGGUGUAUUCGUUCAGAGGAGCUGAAGGAAUGGGGGGAGAUGCGACAGAGGAGUCUAUGGAUGGAAUAGGAUAGGUACGUGGAGGACGGGAUGGGCCGGAAGGUGACUGGGAGAGGGACGGAGGAUAUCGUUGGAUGGUAGUUGGGGUGUGAGGAACAGUCAUUAUAUGCUAAUGUAAACUAAGGCAAGUUUAGUAUACGUGUUGGGAUGGUCGGAGGCGAAUGCGCGUCGUCACUCACUAUAUGGAUGGCGGCUUUUGGUCACCGCUCAAACAAACAAUAUUGCUGGAUGAGUGUCAGACGGACAACCACGAAAGCGCUAGGCAAGGCAGAUAGGAAAAGGGAAUGGGAAGAGCGGACGUUGACCUAGUGCUAUAGAGGCGGGGAUCGUGUCUACGAAGAGAUGAUAUGUAUCAGCUUAUAACCCGUACUGG